UUUUUUUUUUUUUUUUUUUUUGUAAUUUUCAAAUUUAGCUUCUGAAGGUUUGGUCUUACUCACAGGAUACUUAUCACUUAAAAAUCACCGAGGGCUUCCAGUCAUAUGAACUACUGGAACCACAAGAGGCUGAGAGCACAGCAGAUGGCAAACUAAACAAGAGACACCACUCAAAAUCCAGGAUAUUCCCCUCAGAGAAGUGCUUAUGAGUUUAUGGAGUGCAUCACGGAGAAAAAGAGAAAAGUGAGGAUAGGUGUGGUAAUACGCCUCCACCUUAGAGGAUCACUCUUCAUUUCUAGUUAACAAGGUUGGCUCUGUCUGAGGAGGCUUUAACACUACCCAUCGCUGCUGGCAAUCUGGUUUACAGACCAGUCUCAUAAAUUCUUUUUCUUAAGAAAUUAUUUUAUAACCAUUUUGAAAGGCCUAUGUAAAUAUCACUGAAGAACUUUAUCCAAAAAAAAAAAGUUGAGAAAUUACUUACAUGAAAUUGAUGUUGCAAAUAAUGCCUAUCUAUCAAAAUGCAAUUAUGAAUUAUUUUUUAUUUGGGAAUUACCUGAAAAAACUUAGUAAUUUAUUUAGACGUGCAACAAAUCUAUUUAUAUAUUCUACUCAUCUAAAAUAAAGAACACUAACUGUAAUGUGAUUACUGUAGACCCAUUAUCUCAGCCUCUUAAAACAAUCUGCAGUGGUUUUAUAAAAAUAAUGUUUUCACAUCAUGCCAUAAUUCUGUCCAAAGACCGCCAUAUAAAUUCAACUGAAAACGUGUUAAUGCACUGCAUUAACAUAACUAUAACACAUGUUAAUACAUGAAGUCAUAGGACUGAAACGGACUUUUAAAUUUUACAAUUCAUUCUUGUAUUGUCACAAUACACCCGAACAAAUCAGUGGGCUGACGUCCGACACUGCAAAGUUCUUACAGGAACUUUCAGGGUCAAUCUAAACCACAAAUGCCUACAUGAUUUUUUUAUCCCUGUGAUUCCUUAAGAUUUCUUGCUUUAAAGAAAGAAAAAAAGCAAUGUCUAGAUAAGUAAUACAUCUCGUUAGCUUGAAAAAGAUAGUCAUUAAAUGCUUGACACAUAUUUAUCAAUAUAAAUUUCCUGUUGUGGUUAUGUACGUAUAGUUAAAAAAAUUUAAGAUAACAUCAUUUAAACUCAUUUUUUCCAAUGAACAAAGGGAAAUUAGGGAUGUUUAAAGUAUUCCCAUGACAAAUAUCUAAGGCAGAAAAUGUAUCUCAUAUUCACUGGGAUUAAUAAAGCCUUAUUUUGUAAGUUACAUUUGAGACUUUAAAACAGAAUUUAAAAUGCUACUAAAAUGCGAACUGCACUUUAUCCGAUAGAGUCAUUUUCAGGAGUUAUCAAUCUACCUAGGUCUGCUGUCACAUAUACACACAUAUAUAAUCAGUACUAACUGUGAUGUUACAAACCCCAACUUGGUGAAGAUUGGAGACUAUACCGUCCCCAUCAUACUGGCUUGUGUAACCUACCUGGGCAAGUUAUUUAACCUGUCUAUGCAUCAGUUUCACUCUGUCAACCAAAGAUCGUCAGGGUCUCCUCUCCUAAAGCUCUGCAGGGGAUAGUCAGUAAGAGACACGGCGCAUCAGUAACUCAGCAGGGCCUGGCAUGUAGUGGCGCACUAUAUGGCUCCUGAGGCCACAUGACCAUAAUUAGAACACUGCAGGCUCAAUGCGAUGCACAGUGCCAUGAUGACUCUUGAAUACUUAUAAAGUUACAUUCGGACUUUCACUUGCAAAAUUUGUUCUGAAUGGGGAAGAAAAAAAUUGAGGUUCUGAAAUAUCACAAAUUACAUCCAGGGCAAAGUUUCAUGGGGGGAAAAACACACCCUAUUUGUAGUAUUCAUAGAUGAAUACCUAUGUAACUGAAAAGUGGAUCUAUGUUUUUUCAGAAAUAGGAAACAAGGUAAAAAGAAUUUCAGGAUUUUAAGGGAACCUAACGGUAAGAAACCAAAUGACAACUUUUAGUUUUCAGUCUAUUUGAAAUUGUGCCAGGUCCUAAAAGAGAAGAGAAAAAGGGGUAACACAUGUAAUAGGAUUAGAACUACUGAGUCUGAGGGCUCAGUAUAGAGAAUAAGGAAAUAAUCAAAUUCAAUUUUU
This 2110-nucleotide long non-coding RNA is filed under the name Canis lupus familiaris (dog). Its description in RNAcentral is "lncRNA (ENSCAFG00000054738.1, ENSCAFG00805025558.1)". Lineage: Eukaryota; Metazoa; Chordata; Mammalia; Carnivora; Canidae. The record is from RNAcentral.